This 911-nucleotide ribosomal RNA is filed under the name uncultured archaeon. RNAcentral's name for it is "bacterial SSU rRNA". It matches the Rfam family "Archaeal small subunit ribosomal RNA", at positions 1 to 921 of the family's 1478-position model. The record is from RNAcentral.
UUCCGGUUGAUCCUGCCGGACCUGACUGCUAUCGGAUUGAUACUAAGCCAUGCGAGUCAUUGUAGCAAUACAAGGCAGACGGCUCAGUAACGCGUAGUCAACCUAACCUAUGGACGGGAAUAACCUCGGGAAACUGAGAAUAAUGCCCGAUAGAACACUAUAUCUGGAAUGGUUUGUGUUCCAAAUGAUUUAUCGCCGUAGGAUGGGACUGCGGCCUAUCAGUUUGUUGGUGAGGUAAUGGCCCACCAAGACUAUUACAGGUACGGGCUCUGAGAGGAGUAGCCCGGAGAUGGGUACUGAGACACGGACCCAGGCCCUAUGGGGCGCAGCAGGCGAGAAAACUUUGCAAUGUGCGAAAGCACGACAAGGUUAAUCCGAGUGGUUUGUGCUAAACGAACCUUUUGUCGGUCCUAGAAACACCGAUGAAUAAGGGGUGGGCAAGUUCUGGUGUCAGCCGCCGCGGUAAAACCAGCACCUCAAGUGGUCAGGAUGAUUAUUGGGCCUAAAGCAUCCGUAGCCGGCGCUGUAAGUUUUCGGUUAAAUCUGUACGCUCAACGUACAGGCUGCCGGGAAUACUGCAGCGCUAGGGAGUGGGAGAGGUAGACGGUACUCGGUAGGAAGGGGUAAAAUCCUUUGAUCUAUUGAUGACCACCUGUGGCGAAGGCGGUCUACCAGAACACGUCCGACGGUGAGGGAUGAAAGCUGGGGGAGCAAACCGGAUUAGAUACCCGGGUAGUCCCAGCUGUAAACUAUGCAAACUCAGUGAUGCAUUGGCUUGUGGCCAAUGCAGUGCUGCAGGGAAGCCGUUAAGUUUGCCGCCUGGGAAGUACGUACGCAAGUAUGAAACUUAAAGGAAUUGGCGGGGGAGCACCACAAGGGUGAAGCCUGCGGUUCAAUUGAGUCAACGCCGG